Entelurus aequoreus (snake pipefish) is the source of this 1859-nucleotide long non-coding RNA. RefSeq lists it as uncharacterized. The transcript has 3 exons. Lineage: Eukaryota; Metazoa; Chordata; Actinopteri; Syngnathiformes; Syngnathidae. The record is from RefSeq and is a predicted model, not a curated record.
GGAGGAGCACACGACAUAGAUCGCCUUGAGAAUACAGAAUGGUGUACAUGUCAAAACUGUGUGAACAUGGAGACAGUGGCUGAGUGUGUCUGCUGUAGUGAAAUAGAGGCAGUGACCAGAACGAUGGAGGAGGAGGGGGUGAAGACGUGCAUCAUAGACCACCAUGGCUUUCCAUCUGUGUGUCUGGAUGAAUGGGUGCUGCAGACAGCGUAUAACGCCUACAAACAGCAAUAUGGCAUGCUGCAGCAACAGCAAAAUGAGCGGAGACGACACACAGCCUAUCGACAGUUUGUCCGCUUCUGCUGGGGAUAUCUGGGAAAGGACAUAAGGGUGGUACUACCAGCUUGUGUAGUACAUAAGAUUAGGACAACAUUCCCAUCGAUGGACUACACGGGGUUCCAAGACGUGCAGUGACUGCAACAGAAUCUACAUGGCCACUGUACUUAAUCAAUAAAAUCAAUCAAUCAAUCAAUCAGUCAAUCAAUCAAUGUUUAUUUAUAUAGCACUAAAUCACAAAUGUCUCAAAGGGCUGUACAAGCCACAACGACAUCCUCGGUACAGAGCCCACACACGGGCAAGGAAAACUCACCCCAGUAGGACGUCGAUGUGAAUGACUAUGAGAAACCUUGGAGAGGACCGCAUAUGUGGGUAACCCCCCCCCUCUAGGGGAGACCGAAAGCAAUGGAUGUCGAGUGGGUCUAACAUAUUAGUGAGGGUCCAGUGGAGCCAGCAGGAGGCCACCCCGAGCGGAGACGGGUCAGCAGCGCAGAUGUCCCCAACCGAUGCACAGGCGAGCGGUAUACCCCGGGUCCCAACUCUGGACAGCCAGCACUUUAUCCAUGGUCACCGGAAUAACCCCUCCACGUGGGGGGGGGGGCAGAGGAGAAAAGAAAAGAAACGGCAGAUCAACUGGUCUAAAAAGGGGGUCUAUUUAAAGGCUAGAGUAUACAAAUGAGUUUUAAGAUGGGACUUAAAUGCUUCUACUGAGGUAGCAUCUCUAACUGUUACCGGGAGGGCAUUUCACACUUACCGAAGCGACUCCUGUGCUUGGCGAUGGCUUCCUCCUUGUCUGGCUUCUCCAGUUCAUCGCAGAGGAAGGGAGGCACAUCCACAGUGACGCUGAGUGGUGUUCUCUCGUCAGGGGUCUGUCUGCAGCCAGCAACAACCUCCCUGAUCAAGUCAUCUACGUAGCCUGCAAAAUACAAUUGUACAUGUUCCUGCUCACAACAUAAUAUACUCAUGGAGAGUGAAACUUGACAGUAUUAUUAUCAUGAUACAAAGUGUCAAGUGUUUACAUGUUUUGUGUCCUCUACACUUACGGUAUGUUGGCUCUGUCGCGAUUUUCUUGACCACAUGGCCCCCUGCUUUAUACUUCGGGUAGCGUACUGCAUAGCGCUCAGCACCCGCUUGUGUAGUGGCUAUAGGGCGGCUCGAAUUUUCGUUCCAGUGCAGCCCAGCAAGCAGGUUCCUAGGUGUGGUAACAGAAUAAUGUAAUAAUUAGUACUAAAGUAUGGCACACACUAGUGACACUUAGAUUAGUGUGGAAACAUACCUGCACAGCAUUCCGAUGUAUGAGAAGACAUACAUUUUCGGUGCGAACUGUAUAAGAUAAAAGACACUUUAUUCAGUCAUGCGUCCAUACAAUGUGUGUGUAAAUUUAUAAAUUGUUUGUAAAUUUGAAUACAAAUGUUUGUGUAUUAAACUGUUAAUAGUCAGCUAUUAAAGCUUGAUCUCCUGCAGUAAUGAAGCUGUUUUGUUUUCAAUGUUAACACCACGCCAGAAUUGUUUGCAAUCUUUCUCACCAAGAUGCCAGCCACUAUGUUGGACCUCCAACAUUCUCUUGCUUACACUGACUGUAU